AUACGUAGGUGACAAGCGUUAUCCGGAUUUACUGGGCGUAAAGGGCGUGUAGGCGGUCUUGCAAGUCAGAAGUGAAAUUCCUGAGCUCAACUCGGGCGCUGCUUCUGAAACUGCAGGACUUGAGUGCUGGAGGGGAUAGCGGAAUUCCUAGUGGAGCGGUAAAAUGCGCAGAUAUUAGGAAGAACACCGGUGGCGAAGGCGGCUAUCUGGACAGUAACUGGCGCUGAGGCGCGAAAGCGUGGGGAGCAAACAGGAAUAGAGACCCGGGUAGCCCACGCCGUAAACGAUGAAUACUAGGUGUAGGGGGUAUCGACUCCCUCUGUGCCGCAGUUAACACAAUAAGUAUUCCACCUGGGGAGUACGUUCGCAAGAAUGAAACUCAAAGGAAUUGACGGGG
Molecule: ribosomal RNA, 397 nt
Filed under: uncultured bacterium
Lineage: Bacteria
Description: partial 16S ribosomal RNA
Rfam family: Bacterial small subunit ribosomal RNA
Source: RNAcentral